RNAcentral lists this small RNA (170 nucleotides) under Chelonoidis abingdonii (Abingdon island giant tortoise). RNAcentral's name for it is "TUC338 (ENSCABG00000001022.1)". The record is from RNAcentral. Lineage: Eukaryota; Metazoa; Chordata; Testudines; Testudinidae.
AUGAUAGUCCAGAAAAAUUAAAUCUAUUUUUCUACAGAACAUGUACAGCGUGGGCAGAAGCAGUGCCAUCUUCCUGAUACCACAACAUCAACAUGCCUCUGAACUAUUCUGGAGGAUCUACAUCUUAGGGGUGAGACCGUGACCCAUUGCCUAUUCACUCUUUGGCCUCU